CCUACGGGAGGCUGCAGUGGGGAAUAUUGGUCAAUGGGCGCAAGCCUGACCCAGCAACGCCGCGUGAAGGAAGAAGGCUCUCGGGUUUGAAACUUCCUUUCGCAGGGACGAAGCAAGUGACGGUACCUGAGGAAUAAGCCACGGCUAACUACGUGCCAGCAGCCGCGGUAAUACGUAGGUGGCAAGCGUUAUCCGGAUUUACUGGGUGUAAAGGGCGUGUAGGCGGGACUGCAAGUCAGAUGUGAAAACCACGGGCUCAACCUGUGGCCUGCAGUUGAAACUGUAGUUCUUGAGUACUGGAGAGGCAGACGGAAUGCGUAGUGUAGCGGUGAAAUGCGUAGAUAUUAGGAGGAACACCGGUGGCGAAGGCGGUCUGCUGGACAGCAACUGACGCUGAGGCGCGAAAGCGUGGGGAGCAAACAGGAUUAGAUACCCUGGUAGUC
RNAcentral lists this ribosomal RNA (443 nucleotides) under uncultured bacterium. Its description in RNAcentral is "partial 16S ribosomal RNA". It matches the Rfam family "Bacterial small subunit ribosomal RNA", at positions 338 to 795 of the family's 1533-position model. The record is from RNAcentral.